CUCAGUUGGUUAGAGCGUCGGAUUGUGGUUCCGAAGGUCGCGGGUUCGAACCCCGUCGUUCGCCC
RNAcentral lists this transfer RNA (65 nucleotides) under Chlamydia trachomatis RC-L2(s)/46. RNAcentral describes it as "tRNA-OTHER". It matches the Rfam family "tRNA", at positions 11 to 71 of the family's 71-position model. Rfam says of the family: Transfer RNA (tRNA) molecules are approximately 80 nucleotides in length. Their secondary structure includes four short double-helical elements and three loops (D, anti-codon, and T loops). Lineage: Bacteria; Pseudomonadati; Chlamydiota; Chlamydiia; Chlamydiales; Chlamydiaceae. The record is from RNAcentral.